Molecule: non-coding RNA, 26 nt
Filed under: Cricetulus griseus (Chinese hamster)
Lineage: Eukaryota; Metazoa; Chordata; Mammalia; Rodentia; Cricetidae
Source: RNAcentral
GCGGAACGGCUGGGUGUGGGACGCUG